AAAGUCGUAACAAGGUCUCCGUAGGUGAACCUGCGGAGGGAUCAUUAACACGUAUAAUCCACGUAAACACCCGCGAACUUGUAUUGUUCCGCGUUUGGGAUCCAGAUCGAGGGGUAGUGGGCUUCGGCGACGCCUUCGGGCGUGCCUGCUACUCCGGCUCUUAGACAUUGCUCGAGCUUCUCACGAGGCACGAGAACGUAUGGCUAAGAGGAAGGAUUCUGAGCGUGCCAGACGCCGUGCUGUCGUACCAAACUUUUUUAACCCAUUGUAAACUAUUUUGUCUAAUUUACUUUUUUUUCCAAACGGAAAAGAAAAACCAAAAAACUAAACGUACAACUCUUAGCAACGGAUAUCUUGGUUCUC
This 363-nucleotide unclassified non-coding RNA is filed under the name Ascomycota sp. RNAcentral describes it as "partial contains small subunit ribosomal RNA, internal transcribed spacer 1, and 5.8S ribosomal RNA". The stretch from base 1 to 47 matches the Rfam family "Eukaryotic small subunit ribosomal RNA", at positions 1785 to 1831 of the family's 1831-position model. The record is from RNAcentral. Lineage: Eukaryota; Fungi; Ascomycota.